RNAcentral lists this ribosomal RNA (506 nucleotides) under uncultured bacterium. Its description in RNAcentral is "partial 16S ribosomal RNA". It matches the Rfam family "Bacterial small subunit ribosomal RNA", at positions 29 to 523 of the family's 1533-position model. The record is from RNAcentral.
AGUGAACGCUGGCGGUAGGCCUAACACAUGCAAGUCGAACGGCAGCACAGGAGAGCUUGCUCUCUGGGUGGCGAGUGGCGGACGGGUGAGGAAUACAUCGGAAUCUACUCUUUCGUGGGGGAUAACGUAGGGAAACUUACGCUAAUACCGCAUACGACCUUCGGGUGAAAGCAGGGGACCUUCGGGCCUUGCGCGAUUGAAUGAGCCGAUGUCGGAUUAGCUAGUUGGCGGGGUAAAGGCCCACCAAGGCGACGAUCCGUAGCUGGUCUGAGAGGAUGAUCAGCCACACUGGAACUGAGACACGGUCCAGACUCCUACGGGAGGCAGCAGUGGGGAAUAUUGGACAAUGGGCGCAAGCCUGAUUCAGCCAUACCGCGUGGGUGAAGAAGGCCUUCGGGUUGUAAAGCCCUUUUGUUGGGAAAGAAAAGCACUUGGUUAAUACCCUUGUGUUCUGACGGUACCCAAAGAAUAAGCACCGGCUAACUUCGUGCCAGCAGCCGCGGUAA